Molecule: ribosomal RNA, 2214 nt
Filed under: Listeria monocytogenes
Lineage: Bacteria; Bacillati; Bacillota; Bacilli; Caryophanales; Listeriaceae
Description: partial 23S ribosomal RNA
Rfam family: Bacterial large subunit ribosomal RNA
Source: RNAcentral
CGAAACCAGGUGAUCUACCCAUGUCCAGGAUGAAGGUAAGGUAAUACUUACUGGAGGUCCGAACCCACGCACGUUGAAAAGUGCGGGGAUGAGGUGUGGGUAGCGGAGAAAUUCCAAUCGAACUUGGAGAUAGCUGGUUCUCUCCGAAAUAGCUUUAGGGCUAGCCUCGAGGUAAAGAGUCAUGGAGGUAGAGCACUGUUUGGACUAGGGGCCCUUCUCGGGUUACCGAAUUCAGAUAAACUCCGAAUGCCAUGUACUUAUACUCGGGAGUCAGACUGCGAGUGAUAAGAUCCGUAGUCGAAAGGGAAACAGCCCAGACCACCAGUUAAGGUCCCCAAAUAUAUGUUAAGUGGAAAAGGAUGUGGGGUUGCUUAGACAACCAGGAUGUUGGCUUAGAAGCAGCCACCAUUGAAAGAGUGCGUAAUAGCUCACUGGUCGAGUGACCCCGCGCCGAAAAUGUACCGGGGCUAAACAUAUUACCGAAACUGUGGAUGAACCUCUUCGGAGGUUCGUGGUAGGAGAGCGUUCUAAGGGCGGUGAAGUCAGACCGGAAGGACUGGUGGAGCGCUUAGAAGUGAGAAUGCCGGUAUGAGUAGCGAAAGAAGGGUGAGAAUCCCUUCCACCGAAUAUCUAAGGUUUCCUGAGGAAGGCUCGUCCGCUCAGGGUUAGUCGGGACCUAAGCCGAGGCCGAUAGGCGUAGGCGAUGGACAACAGGUAGAGAUUCCUGUACCAGUGCUAAUUGUUUAACCGAUGGGGUGACACAGAAGGAUAGGGAAUCGCACGAAUGGAAAUGUGCGUCCAAGCAGUGAGUGUGAGAAGUAGGCAAAUCCGCUUCUCGCGAAGCAUGAGCUGUGAUGGGGAAGGAAAUUAAGUACGGAAGUUCCUGAUUUCACGCUGUCAAGAAAAGCCUCUAGGAAGAGUAGUACUGCCCGUACCGCAAACCGACACAGGUAGAUGAGGAGAGAAUCCUAAGGUGAGCGAGAGAACUCUCGUUAAGGAACUCGGCAAAAUGACCCCGUAACUUCGGGAGAAGGGGUGCUCUAUUAGGGUGCAAGCCCGAGAGAGCCGCAGUGAAUAGGCCCAGGCGACUGUUUAGCAAAAACACAGGUCUCUGCAAAACCGUAAGGUGACGUAUAGGGGCUGACGCCUGCCCGGUGCUGGAAGGUUAAGAGGAGUGCUUAGCUUCGGCGAAGGUACGAAUUGAAGCCCCAGUAAACGGCGGCCGUAACUAUAACGGUCCUAAGGUAGCGAAAUUCCUUGUCGGGUAAGUUCCGACCCGCACGAAAGGCGCAACGAUCUGGGCACUGUCUCAACGAGAGACUCGGUGAAAUUAUAGUACCUGUGAAGAUGCAGGUUACCCGCGACAGGACGGAAAGACCCCGUGGAGCUUUACUGCAACCUGAUAUGGAAUGUUUGUACCGCUUGUACAGGAUAGGUAGGAGCCGAAGAGACGUGUGCGCUAGCAUACGAGGAGGCAAUGGUGGGAUACUACCCUGGCUGUAUGACCAUUCUAACCCGCCACGCUUAGCGCGUGGGGAGACAGUGUCAGGUGGGCAGUUUGACUGGGGCGGUCGCCUCCUAAAGAGUAACGGAGGCGCCCAAAGGUUCCCUCAGAAUGGAUGGAAAUCAUUCGCAGAGUGUAAAGGCACAAGGGAGCUUGACUGCGAGACUGACAAGUCGAGCAGGGACGAAAGUCGGGCUUAGUGAUCCGGUGGUUCCGCAUGGAAGGGCCAUCGCUCAACGGAUAAAAGCUACCCCGGGGAUAACAGGCUUAUCUCCCCCAAGAGUCCACAUCGACGGGGAGGUUUGGCACCUCGAUGUCGGCUCGUCGCAUCCUGGGGCUGUAGUCGGUCCCAAGGGUUGGGCUGUUCGCCCAUUAAAGCGGCACGCGAGCUGGGUUCAGAACGUCGUGAGACAGUUCGGUCCCUAUCCGUCGCGGGCGCAGGAAAUUUGAGAGGAGCUGUCCUUAGUACGAGAGGACCGGGAUGGACACACCGCUGGUGUACCAGUUGUUCCGCCAGGAGCAUCGCUGGGUAGCUAUGUGUGGCAGGGAUAAACGCUGAAAGCAUCUAAGCGUGAAGCCCCCCUCAAGAUGAGAUUUCCCAUUUCUUCGGAAAGUAAGAUCCCUGAAAGAUGAUCAGGUAGAUAGGUUUGGAGUGGAAGUGUAGCGAUACAUGGAGCGGACAAAUACUAAUCGAUCGAGGACUUAACCAA